AUGACGGCGGAACCUCUCGCGCCGGACGCAAAGCCUCCCCGCCGCAGGAGGAAGACCUCCACUUUCUGGUGGUGCUUCCUGGGCCUCUGCGCAGAGGCCCUUUUGUUCCUGCUGUCUACUUUAUCUGAUGCUUGUGAACUACCACCACCAUUUGAAGCUAUGGAACUCAAGGGUGUGCCUAAACUCUAUUAUGAGGUUGGAGAGACAAUAGAAUAUAAGUGUAAAAAAGGAUACCUAUAUAUGAUUCCAUUCCCCAUGUUUGCUACCUGUGAACCAAAUCACACAUGGGUCCCUAUUUCAGAUGACGGUUGUCUUAAAGUAGAAUGUUCAACAUUAAAGAGCCCUUCAUUUGGCAGUGUACACUACAUGGAUGGCAGACGUUCAUGGGGUAAUCGAGCUCAAUUUUCUUGUGUGGAGGGUUAUUACUUAAUUGGUAUGUCAGUUCUACACUGUGUGCUUAAAGGUGAUGCUGAUGCACACUGGGAUGGUCCUCCCCCACGUUGUGAAAAAAUCUCUUGUGUGCCACCUCCAAAAAUAAAAAAUGGGACACACACCUUUAGUGAUAUUGAUGUAUUCAGAUACCGUGAAGCAGUGAUUUACAGUUGUGAUCCUAUCUCAGGGCCAGAUAAGUUUUCCCUUAUUGGAAUGAGCAUGCUGAUCUGUACUGGCCAUAACACCUGGAGCAGCCAGGCUCCAGAGUGUAAAGUGGUAAAAUGUCCAUUUCCACUACUACAAAACGGAAGACAGAUAGCAGGAUUUGAAAAGAAAUUUUCCUAUGAAGCAACAGUGACAUUUGAAUGUGAGGAGGGUUUCUACAUGAGGGGCAGGGACACGGUGAUCUGCAAUGCUAACAGCACUUGGGAGCCUCCAAUCCCAAUAUGUAUUAAAGGUCCUAAGCCUACUUAUCCCACCAAGCCUCCAGUUUACAAUUACCCAGGAUAUCCUAGUCCCCGUGAAGGAAUAUUUGGCCAAGAAUUAGAUGCAUGGAUUAUUGCUCUGAUUGUUGUUACUUCAAUUGUUGGACUUGUUGUAAUUUGUCUCAUCAUACUCAGAUAUCUUGAGUACAGGAAGAAAGGGAAAGCAGAGCUGAAAGCUAAGCAUUCCACUCACCAGAAAAAGUCAGCUUCAACCAUACAAUCAGAGAAAACUCCAUCAAUGAUACAAACUCCAAGGAGCAAUUUGUCUGCUGCCUCUAAUAUGACUGCAGCUGCAGGAAAAUGAGAAGCUCCAUGUGUGGAAGUCACUACUGUUCCAUCUUUGAAAAUUGGUUCUUCAAGUCUGGCAAAAGUAAAAUUAUAUAUUUGAAGGAACUUCAUUUAUGCCCCUCCAGCUUACCAAGGGUUCAACACAGCCCUGAGUGCCCGUGUCCAGAG
This is an RNA transcript of Microtus oregoni (creeping vole), 1373 nucleotides long. It is a transcript of the gene named CD46 molecule, with no coding region annotated. The record is from RefSeq and is a predicted model, not a curated record. NCBI's taxonomy places the organism in Eukaryota, Metazoa, Chordata, Mammalia, Rodentia, Cricetidae. The transcript has 13 exons.